GUGGUAACGACUGCAGGGGGAGGGCUCCAGGAAGCAGCUCCCCUGUCCUCCCGCGCAAUGCUGUGUGGGGCGUUGCCAUGGUAACGCGCGGCAACGCUCCACACAGCAUCGCGCGGGAGGACAGGGGAGCUGCUUCCUGGAGCCCUCCCCCUGCCUCCCGACCCGGA
This 167-nucleotide microRNA precursor is filed under the name Pelobates cultripes (western spadefoot toad). The record is from RNAcentral. Lineage: Eukaryota; Metazoa; Chordata; Amphibia; Anura; Pelobatidae.